CUCACUGUCUUUAGUUAUAUAGAUAAGGAUAUCCAGAAAACUUUCACAAUUAGGAUGUAACAGGAUACCUUAAGACCGAUAUUAUCCUCACUUUAGAGAUGAGGAAACUGAGAUCCGGAGGGGUGACAUCCUUUACAAAAGAGCAAGAGCCCCCUGCCUCCUAAGAAAUUUCUCUUUCCCUAAGCUGCAGUCUCCCUGAGCACUGCUUCUGAGCUGAGGCACCAGCCCAAGUCUGGCGGCAGCCACACCAGAUCUCGGUUCUUCUCUAGCAUCAGCACAGUUAUCUCUGCCAAACCAACCUAUGACUCCAGAAGGAUCUGCUGAGCCAAGCCUGAGACAGGAAACACCAGCCCCAUGGUCUCUCCACCUUGAAUCAGAAACGGGUGGCGCACUGGAUUUGGUCCACCCGCAGGGUGAUGAUCCCUGACCUAACUGGAGCGCUGCUAGAAGACGAGGUGACAGGCGCGACGCUGCUCUGUGGACUGUACAGUGUGGAUCAUUUGCGAGGAACUGGAGGGGCAGCUGCUAUGGUAAUAAAAUAAAGCUCAGCGCAGC
RNAcentral lists this long non-coding RNA (555 nucleotides) under Mustela putorius furo (domestic ferret). Its description in RNAcentral is "lncRNA (ENSMPUG00000030596.1)". The record is from RNAcentral. Lineage: Eukaryota; Metazoa; Chordata; Mammalia; Carnivora; Mustelidae.